This 482-nucleotide ribosomal RNA is filed under the name uncultured bacterium. RNAcentral's name for it is "partial 16S ribosomal RNA". It matches the Rfam family "Bacterial small subunit ribosomal RNA", at positions 28 to 523 of the family's 1533-position model. The record is from RNAcentral.
GAUUAACGCUGGCGGCAUGCCUUAUGCAUGCAAGUAGAACGGGUCUCGCAAGAGAUUAGUUGCGAACGGCUGAGUAAUGGAUAGGAAUCUCCCAAUUGGUGUGGAAUACCUCAUCGAAAGAUGAGCUAAUACCGCAUAAGUCCGCAAGGGGAAAGCGCUUCACUGCGCGCCGAUUGAUGAGCCUAUCUCCCAUCAGGCUGUUGGUAGGGUAAUGGCCUACCAAACCUAUGACGGGUACCCGCCCUGAGAGGACGACCAGCCACACUGGGACUGAGACACGGCCCAGACUCCUACGGGAGGCAGCAGUGGGGAAUUUUGAACAAUGGGCGCAAGCCUAAUCCAGCCAUGCCGCGUGCGGGAAGAAGGCCUUCGGGUUGUAAACCGCUUUUGUCAGGGAAGAAAAGACUCCUGUUAAUACCGGGGGUUCAUGACGGUACCUGAAGAAUAAGCACCGGCUAACUACGUGCCAGCCGCCGCAGUAA